AACGCACCUUGCGCCUUUCGGUAUUCCGAAGGGCAUGCCUGUUUGAGUGUCAUUAAAUCAUCAAACCUCUCCUUGCUUGACUCAUCUCUGGCACGUGAGCGUUUUGGAAUAUGAGGGUCUCUUGCUGGAGCCUCUAGUGGCCUCGGCUCCCUUCAAAUGCAUCAGCAGGACUGCUUUGUCGGCCUGACCUUGGUUUGAUAAGUCUAUCUAUGCCAUUGUCAGGAGGGCUUUGACCUGCUCAUAGUUGUCUCUCUCGUGAGACUGUCUCGUGAGACAAAAGGACCUUCGGCGUCUUUUGAUCUUGAUCUCAAAUCAGGUAGGAUUACCCGCUGAACUUAA
RNAcentral lists this unclassified non-coding RNA (339 nucleotides) under uncultured fungus. Its description in RNAcentral is "sequence contains ITS2". The stretch from base 1 to 52 matches the Rfam family "5.8S ribosomal RNA", at positions 103 to 154 of the family's 154-position model. The record is from RNAcentral. Lineage: Eukaryota; Fungi.